Molecule: ribosomal RNA, 430 nt
Filed under: uncultured bacterium
Lineage: Bacteria
Description: partial 16S ribosomal RNA
Rfam family: Bacterial small subunit ribosomal RNA
Source: RNAcentral
GUGGGGAAUAUUGCACAAUGGGCGAAAGCCUGAUGCAGCAACGCCGCGUGAGGGAUGACGGCCUUCGGGUUGUAAACCUCUUUUAGCAGGGAAGAAGCGUGAGUGACGGUACCUGCAGAAAAAGCACCGGCUAACUACGUGCCAGCAGCCGCGGUAAUACGUAGGGUGCAAGCGUUGUCCGGAAUUAUUGGGCGUAAAGAGCUCGUAGGCGGCUUGUCGCGUCUGCUGUGAAAACCCGGGGCUCAACCCCGGGCCUGCAGUGGGUACGGGCAGGCUAGAGUGCGGUAGGGGAGAUUGGAAUUCCUGGUGUAGCGGUGGAAUGCGCAGAUAUCAGGAGGAACACCGAUGGCGAAGGCAGAUCUCUGGGCCGUAACUGACGCUGAGGAGCGAAAGCAUGGGGAGCGAACAGGAUUAGAUACCCUUGUAGUCC